Molecule: long non-coding RNA, 226 nt
Filed under: Oryza brachyantha (malo sina)
Lineage: Eukaryota; Viridiplantae; Streptophyta; Magnoliopsida; Poales; Poaceae
Description: long non-coding RNA (OBRA_LNC003468)
Source: RNAcentral
AUUUCUAUAGAAAGUGGGGCUAGAUCGAGAGUUCUGACCUUUUCGUGGGUGAUCUUCAAACUCUUGUUUUUCUAGCGAAAGAAGGCCCUUCUGAGCGAUGAUCUCCUACAAGCGAGUAUAGUAAGGUUGACUUCAAUUGAGACAGAAAUGUCACUCUUAGCGUGACAAUAAACCCUCACUGCUUGCUUCCCCACUAAAACCUACUAUGUGAAAAGGAUUAGUUCCC